This 28-nucleotide small RNA is filed under the name Bombyx mori (domestic silkworm). RNAcentral describes it as "piRNA piR-bmo-1285662". The record is from RNAcentral. Lineage: Eukaryota; Metazoa; Arthropoda; Insecta; Lepidoptera; Bombycidae.
UAAGUACAGACGCUCCGAUUCGGUUGGU